Oncorhynchus tshawytscha (Chinook salmon) is the source of this 1013-nucleotide long non-coding RNA. NCBI's taxonomy places the organism in Eukaryota, Metazoa, Chordata, Actinopteri, Salmoniformes, Salmonidae. The record is from Ensembl.
AACAGCUUCUAUCUCAAGGCCAUCAGACUGUUAAACAGCCACCACUAACAUUGAGUGGCUACUGCCAACACACUGUCAAUGACACUGACUCUACUCCAGCCACUUUAAUCAUGGGAAUUGAUGGGAAAUGAUCUGAAGGAGCGGACCCAUCCCAGUCUGUUGAGGUGUGUGAGACAGUGUUUUACAAGGCCUUGACCAGGAUGCUGGUUGCUGGUAUCCUGUCCAGUGGUACUACAACAGAGAUAGUACAGUACUACCAUAAAAAGACUCUGAGGCUGAUCCGGCGGGCCGUGCGACCAGACAGGGAGGACGGGGACCAUGUUCUCACCUACUACACCAAGGGAGCUCAUCUCAUAGGCCUGAAGAGCAACCAGCUCCUCAAGUACAUCCAGCCAGUGGAGACAAUUGCCCAGAGCCAGAAGAAGAAGGACAGCGCGUACUUGAGGCGUCCCAGCCUUAUCGUGGCCUACAUCUCCUGGGACCCCCGACGCAUGUUUUGAUGUGCAGAGACAAUUGCCCAGAGCCAGAAGAAGAAGGACAGCCCGUACUUGAGGCGUCCCAGCCUUAUCGUGGCCUACACCUCCUGGAACCCUGCACAGAGGGCCAAAAUGAUCUGCAUGAAGUCUGUCAAGACCGGGAAGACCAUUGAGAAUGAGGAUCGCAUCAGACAAUCAAUCAAGCACCAUGGGAUGGAGAAAAUGGAGACGAUCACACCUGUGAAGAUGAAGGUGAACCAGUCCAUGAAGGAGAGGGACCACCUCACUUACAAUGAGAUCAACCAGAUAAAGCUGAAGUCCAGUCUAAAUCAAGUCUGAAGGAGUACCUGAAGGACCUGACCCAGCUGAAGCGUAGGGACAUGUGGAACUCCUGGGGCUCCCUUCAGUGUUACUGUGCCUUCCACAGCCAGAAGGACUUCCCCAAAACCUUCACCACCAACUCCUGGUCCUGGAGUGGCUGAUGGAGACUGGAGACCUGGACGCUCCCUGUAGGUCCACACUACGCCUGCAUAUAGC